UAGGGAAUAUUAGUAAUGGGCGAAAGCCUGAACUAGCAACGCCGCGUGUGCGAAGAAGGCCUUCGGGUUGUAAAGCACUUUUUGAGAGGAUGAGGAAGGACGGUACUCUCAGAAUAAGUCCCGGCUAACUACGUGCCAGCAGCCGCGGUAACACGUAGGAGGCGAACGUUAUCCGGAUUUACUGGGCGUAAAGCGCGUGUAGGUGGUUUGGUAAGUAGGGCGUGAAAGCUCCUGGCUCAACUGGGAGAGGCCGUUCUAAACUGCCGAACUAGAGGAUGGUAGAGGGAGGUUGAAUUCCGUGUGGAGCGGUGGAAUGCGCAGAUAUCCGGAGGAACACCAGUGGCGAAAGCGGCCGCCUGGGCCAUUCCUGACACUCAGACGCGAAAGC
This 388-nucleotide ribosomal RNA is filed under the name uncultured bacterium. RNAcentral describes it as "bacterial SSU rRNA". It matches the Rfam family "Bacterial small subunit ribosomal RNA", at positions 355 to 760 of the family's 1533-position model. The record is from RNAcentral.